UUUAUCUCUGGUACCAGGCAGGCAGGCAACUCCACUCCUGAGCACUUCAGGGUUCACAUCCUUGACUAUGGAAGGUGCAGACCGGCCGCCCCAAGCAGCCCCAGGAGCUGGGGAUCUGGGGGGACUAACAGCUGUUGAGGUUUCCUCCAGGGCACAGGCUUUACCUGCUGGCUUCAAUACAUCUGCACCAGAUACUUCUUUUACCACCUCUGCCCCGUCCGAUACCAUGCCUUUAGGAGAUGACGCUUCUGGAACUGCCUCUGGGUGGGAAUGCAAAGCAGUGGGCUCUAUGUUCCCCUCAGCAGGUCCUGAGGACAGUGGUCCAACCUCCAGCUCCUCUUGUAUGGAUUCCAGUGUUUUUAAGGCUACAGCCUUUGUCCUGUCCACAUCAGAAAAACUGUCUUGGUUCUCCUCCCCUCCCUGCGAGUCCUGUGCUGAAACACACUCUGGGCUCAGCACAAAGUUCAUUUCACUUCCAUUGCCUUGGUUUUCUGUCCAUCCUCGUGGAUCCCCA
This 514-nucleotide long non-coding RNA is filed under the name Gallus gallus (chicken). Lineage: Eukaryota; Metazoa; Chordata; Aves; Galliformes; Phasianidae. The record is from RNAcentral.